GGCUCAGAUUGAACGCUAGCGGGAUGCCUUACACAUGCAAGUCGAACGGCAGCACGGACUUCGGGUCUGGUGGCGAGUGGCGAACGGGUGAGUAAUAUAUCGGAACGUACCUUAUCGUGGGGGAUAACGCAGCGAAAGCUGCGCUAAUACCGCAUACGCCCUGAGGGGGAAAGCGGGGGACCGUAAGGCCUCGCGCGAUUAGAGCGGCCGAUAUCUGAUUAGCUUGUUGGUGGGGUAAAAGCCCACCAAGGCGACGAUCAGUAGCUGGUCUGAGAGGACGAUCAGCCACACUGGGACUGAGACACGGCCCAGACUCCUACGGGAGGCAGCAGUGGGGAAUUUUGGACAAUGGGGGCAACCCUGAUCCAGCAAUGCCGCGUGAGUGAAGAAGGCCUUCGGGUUGUAAAGCUCUUUUGUCAGGGAAGAAACAGCAGCUCUAACACAGUCUGCGAAUGACGGUACCUGAAGAAUAAGCACCGGCUAACUACGUG
This 491-nucleotide ribosomal RNA is filed under the name uncultured bacterium. RNAcentral's name for it is "bacterial SSU rRNA". It matches the Rfam family "Bacterial small subunit ribosomal RNA", at positions 21 to 507 of the family's 1533-position model. The record is from RNAcentral.